CACCUUCCACCGAUCAAGAUUAAAAGAGAGAGGGAAAAAAUGCAUGUAAUUUUUCAUUAUGCAAUCCAGGAUAUAAGAUGGUAACCCAAAGUAAUCCCACACUGCAAGGUGUAUUUCCAAAAGUUAAGAAACUAUGGUGACCAAGAUUGAACGAAGCUACGAUCAACAAAAUUAAAGAAAAACAGUCCUAAAGGCCAAGUUUUACACAAUAUACAAUGAAGGUUACAAACUGUUUAUUAGCAAUCCUUAUCUUUUACAAUUGUUGUUCUGUAUUGACCUUUGGGAAGGAAGGUCACAAUGGUUUUAAUUUGAAUAUUUCUGGAGGAGGGGGUGGUGGGGGUGGAGGAAUCGGUCCCGGGGGAGACGGCGGAAGCGUAAUCACUAACCUGAAUAUCAAGAAAAUAAAGAAUGUUCAUAAGAAUAAAGGCAACAGGCAAAAAAUCAAAUUAGCAAACGGGACAACUCUUGAAGGAUUUAAUUUAAAUAUCAAUGGCGGUGGUGGUGGCGGCGGUGGUGGUCCUGGUCCGGGAGGCGAUGGUGGAGACGUGAUUACUAAUGUUAAUGUGGGGAAGAUGAAGAAUGUUAAUAAGAUUAAACCUUUGAAGAAAAAGAAAGACAAAAAG
Mytilus californianus (California mussel) is the source of this 623-nucleotide long non-coding RNA. RefSeq lists it as uncharacterized. The transcript is spliced from 3 exons. The record is from RefSeq and is a predicted model, not a curated record. NCBI's taxonomy places the organism in Eukaryota, Metazoa, Mollusca, Bivalvia, Mytilida, Mytilidae.